This 506-nucleotide ribosomal RNA is filed under the name uncultured bacterium. Its description in RNAcentral is "bacterial SSU rRNA". It matches the Rfam family "Bacterial small subunit ribosomal RNA", at positions 29 to 512 of the family's 1533-position model. The record is from RNAcentral.
AGCGAACGUUAGCGGCGGGCCUAACACAUGCAAGUCGAACGCGAAAGGUCUUCGGACUGAGUAGAGUGGCGCACGGGUGAGUAACACGUAGGUAAUCUACCCUUUGGCGGGGGAUAACGUUCCGAAAGGAGCGCUAAUACCGCAUAAGACCACGGAGUCUCCGGACGCUGUGGGAAAAGGUGGCCUCUUCUUGAAAGCUACCACCGAAGGAUGAGCCUGCGUCCCAUCAGCUAGUUGGUAAGGUAAUGGCUUACCAAGGCGAAGACGGGUAGCUGGUUUGAGAGAAUGAUCAGCCACACUGGCACUGGAACACGGGCCAGACUCCUACGGGAGGCAGCAGUGAGGAAUAUUGGGCAAUGGGCGAAAGCCUGACCCAGCCACGCCGCGUGAGUGAUGAAGGCCCUCGGGUCGUAAAGCUCUGUGGAGAGGGACGAAAACCCUGGUUUCAAAUAGGCUCCAGGCUUGACGGUACCUCUUUAGCAAGCACCGGCUAACUCUGUGCCAGC